UACGGAGGGUGCUAGCGUUGUUCGGAAUUACUGGGCGUAAAGCGCACGUAGGCGGAUUUGUAAGUUAGAGGUGAAAGCCUGGAUCUCAACUCCAGAAUUGCCUUUAAGACUGCAUCGCUUGAGUCCAGGAGAGGUGAGUGGAAUUCCGAGUGUAGAGGUGAAAUUCGUAGAUAUUCGGAAGAACACCAGUGGCGAAGGCGGCUCACUGGACUGGUAUUGACGCUGAGGUGCGAAAGCGUGGGGAGCAAACAGG
This 253-nucleotide ribosomal RNA is filed under the name uncultured bacterium. RNAcentral's name for it is "partial 16S ribosomal RNA". It matches the Rfam family "Bacterial small subunit ribosomal RNA", at positions 524 to 776 of the family's 1533-position model. The record is from RNAcentral.